This 406-nucleotide ribosomal RNA is filed under the name uncultured bacterium. RNAcentral describes it as "partial 16S ribosomal RNA". It matches the Rfam family "Bacterial small subunit ribosomal RNA", at positions 30 to 526 of the family's 1533-position model. The record is from RNAcentral.
AUUGAACGCUGGCGGCAGGCCUAACACAUGCAAGUCGAACGAGUGGCGGACGGGUGAGUAAUGUCUGGGAAACUGCCUGAUGGAGGGGGAUCACUACUGGAAACGGUAGCUAAUACCGCAUACCAUCGGAUGUGCCCAGAUGGGAUUAGCUAGUGGGUGGGGUAAAGGCUCACCCAGGCGACGAUCCCUAGCUGGUCUGAGAGGAUGACCAGCCACACGGGAACUGAGCCACGGUCCAGACUCCUACGGGAGGCAGCAGUGGGGAAUAUUGCACAAUGGGCGCAAGCCUGAUGCAGCCAUGCCGCGUGUAUGAAGAAGGCCUUCGGGUUGUAAAGUACUUUCAGCGGGGAGGCGUUACCCGCAGAAGAAGCACCGGCUAACUCCGUGCCAGCCGCCGCGGUAAUAC